This 481-nucleotide ribosomal RNA is filed under the name uncultured bacterium. RNAcentral describes it as "partial 16S ribosomal RNA". It matches the Rfam family "Bacterial small subunit ribosomal RNA", at positions 28 to 507 of the family's 1533-position model. The record is from RNAcentral.
GACGAACGUUGGCGGCGUGCUUAAUACAUGCAAGUCAACUGAAGCAGUGGUAGCAAUAUCGCUGUGGCGGUUGCGCACGGGUGAGUAACACGUAGGUAAUCUUCCUUCAGGUCUGGCAUUACUCCGGGAAACCUGGGCUAAUAGCCGAUGAUGCAGCGGCUCUACAUCGAGACGGUUGUUAAAGCUAUGGCGCCUGAAGAUGAGCCUGCGUCUGAUUAGCUAGUUGGCGGGGUAACGGCCGACCAAGGCAACGAUCAGUAGCUGGUCUGAGAGGAUGAUCAGGCAGAGUGGAAGUGAGACACGGUCUAGACUACUACGGGGGGCAGCAGGAAGGAAAAUUGCGCAAAGGGAGAAAUACUGAAGCAGCAACGCCGCGAGAGGGACGAAGGGCGGUUGGUUGGAAACCGCUGUAGUGAGAGAAAAAAAUCCCAAUCAAGGGGACAUGAUGGUAUCUGAAAAGUAAGCCCCGGCUAACUACGUG